UACAGAGGUCUCAAGCGUUGUUCGGAUUCAUUGGGCGUAAAGGGUGCGUAGGCGGCGCGGUAAGUCGGGUGUGAAAUCUCGGAGCUUAACUCCGAAACUGCAUUCGAUACUGCGGUGCUUGAGGACUGGAGAGGAGACUGGAAUUUACGGUGUAGCAGUGAAAUGCGUAGAGAUCGUAAGGAAGACCAGUGGCGAAGGCGGGUCUCUGGAAAGUUCCUGACACUGAGGCACGAAGGCCAGGGGAGCAAACGGG
This 253-nucleotide ribosomal RNA is filed under the name uncultured bacterium. Its description in RNAcentral is "partial 16S ribosomal RNA". It matches the Rfam family "Bacterial small subunit ribosomal RNA", at positions 524 to 776 of the family's 1533-position model. The record is from RNAcentral.